Molecule: ribosomal RNA, 497 nt
Filed under: uncultured bacterium
Lineage: Bacteria
Description: partial 16S ribosomal RNA
Rfam family: Bacterial small subunit ribosomal RNA
Source: RNAcentral
GAUGAACGCUGGCGGCGUGCCUAAUACAUGCAAGUCGAGCGAACAGACGAGGAGCUUGCUCCUUUGACGUUAGCGGCGGACGGGUGAGUAACACGUAGGUAACCUACCUAUAAGACUAGGAUAACUUCGGGAAACCGGAGCUAAUACCGGAUAAUAUUUCGAACCGCAUGGUUCGAUAGUGAAAGAUGGCUUUGCUAUCACUUAUAGAUGGACCUGCGCCGUAUUAGCUAGUUGGUAAGGUAACGGCUUACCAAGGCAACGAUGCGUAGCCGACCUGAGAGGGUGAUCGGCCACACUGGAACUGAGACACGGUCCAGACUCCUACGGGAGGCAGCAGUAGGGAAUCUUCCGCAAUGGGCGAAAGCCUGACGGAGCAACGCCGCGUGAGUGAUGAAGGUCUUCGGAUCGUAAAACUCUGUUAUUAGGGAAGAACAAACGUGUAAGUAACUGUGCACGUCUUGACGGUACCUAAUCAGAAAGCCACGGCUAACUACGUG